This 923-nucleotide long non-coding RNA is filed under the name Athene cunicularia (burrowing owl). RNAcentral's name for it is "lncRNA (ENSACUG00000002629.1)". The record is from RNAcentral. Lineage: Eukaryota; Metazoa; Chordata; Aves; Strigiformes; Strigidae.
GGCGGGUUAGGGGAUGUGUGGAGGCUGUUCAUCUCCAGAGCGUACUGGUGGUACAGGUUUGCGUCUGCUUUACCCCCCUCUUGGUGGCCUCGACACCUCGGCCCGUUUCCCGCCCCGGCUGCGCUGAGCCGACCAGCGGCAGCGCUUGUGUGUGGAAAGCUGCUGGGAAACCUUGAUAACGGAGGAACAGAGUUAAUGGAGCUUUCUUGUCUUGUUCCAGAACCACAAACCCCUUAUUUAAAGAGACCUUGAAACAAAUUGAAAGGAAACCAGAAUGUGGAGGCCUGCCAAUGAUAUCGUUUCUCAUUCUCCCCAUGCAGAGGGUAACACGGCUUCCCCUGCUGUUGGAUACUGUCUGUCAAAAAACAAAAGCAUGCACUGCAGCGUACGGAGCUGCCACCAGAGCGCUGAAAGCCAUCAGCAAGCUGGUGAAGAGCUGCAACGAGGGAGCUCGUGCUAUGGAGAGGACAGAGCAGAUGUACACCCUGCAGAAACAGCUGGAAUUUGGAAAGAAGAAGCCUUUCCCGCUGAUUUCUGCUUCCCGGUGGCUGCUGAAGCGGGGGGAGCUCUACCUGCUGCUCUCGGAGGAGGGGGGCAUCUUCCGCCGAGGCGCCGGCAGGCUCUGCCACCUCUUCUUGUUCAACGACGUCCUCAUCAUAACCAAGAAGAAGAGGUAAGGAGGGGUGGGGGUGGUGGGGGGGGUGGUGUCCCUUCCUUUCUCUGGAAAUCAACUAGUGGGGUUAAAAUCUCAAUUUCCCAAGCAGCACAAGACUUAAGAGAUUCUUGAGAUUUCCCCGUUUUGACCUUUACUGAAGGGAAGGGCCAGCUCCCUGACCCUUGGCCUGGCCACUGUUGGUGGGUGGUCCCUGUCCCCCCACCCCGGGUAUCAGCUCACGUCCUGGCCGUGGCGGGGGCCUCGCCCG